This 1114-nucleotide long non-coding RNA is filed under the name Gossypium barbadense (sea-island cotton). RNAcentral describes it as "long non-coding RNA (GBAR_LNC013752)". Lineage: Eukaryota; Viridiplantae; Streptophyta; Magnoliopsida; Malvales; Malvaceae. The record is from RNAcentral.
AAAAAAUCAAAUACCACAGUUUAUUAAACAGUCCAAUUAACAGAAGCCCAAAUUCAAACCUAAGCAUGGCCCAAAUUACAAACUCAUUACAGUCCAAAUCCCCAACCCGAUUGCAGAAACCCUAGCCCUUUAGCAUCACUUCCCUCCAGCCGCCGCAACAGUGGCCUCCUCUCCCCAGCCACGCGUACCUCACGCACGUAGCGCCACCAUGAGCCUCCAACUGGCCUCCGUACGACUUCUGUACCCGUACCUGCAACGCAACAAAAGCAACAAAGGCAGCAACAGCAGCAGAUACACGGGGAUAGCAAAGAAAAAUAGCAGAAAUUUAGAAAAUUUACCUGUAAAUUUCUAUUUUAUUUCCGGCUAUAUAAGGUCGUUUUCGAAUUUGUAAAAGGAUCCUUUUUUUCCUGGUUUCUUUCGCACACGCAUAUUGAAUACAAAAGAGGAUAUUCAGAAAAAAAGUUCGAAAAGGUGAUGGGUUUUUCGAUUUUUCUCGUUUGAUUUUUUUUCUUUUUUUUUUCUUUUUUCUCUGUUUUCGCAUGGGUUUUCUUCUUCUUUUUUGUAAAAAAGGUAAAUAAAAGGAAGAAGGAGACUAGAGUUGAUACCUAAGUUGGUGCGUCGCCAAAGCCCUCCUCCGUUCAGAUCGGAAUGAAUUUGGGGAAGGGUUCGAUUGUGAAGCGGCGCAAAAAAGGGGUGGCUUUGGGGGCUGGUGUUUAAGCUGGCCUAAGGUUCUGAUCUGAGGCUUAAGAGGGGAUUUAUAUAGUGCAUAAAACGGCACCGUUUUCAGUGGCCUUAAAACGGUGCCGUAUUAAUCAUCCAACUUCAAUAACCGGCGCGAUGACCCGACCCAGGGAGGAUCCGCGCAUUUUUAUUAAUUGGUCCAUUUGCGCGACAAGCCCUUCUGUGUUUUGGGUUGUUUCAAUUUGAUUUUAUUUAAUUUCUUUUAAUUUGCACCACAUAUUUGAGUUCGAUUUCAUUUAGAUCCAGGGACAGACGACAUCGUUCUCGCUGAUGAGAUUUGAAUUCUUGGCUUUGUGUUAAAUUGUUGUACUGGUCCCUUGGAUAUUAAUUGGUUCUCAUUUUAAUCAUUUGUGCAUUAUUUUCAAAUUCAAAC